Apus apus (common swift) is the source of this 1746-nucleotide long non-coding RNA. RefSeq lists it as uncharacterized. The transcript has 3 exons. Lineage: Eukaryota; Metazoa; Chordata; Aves; Apodiformes; Apodidae. The record is from RefSeq and is a predicted model, not a curated record.
AGUGAUGCUGCCCCAGCUCAUCGUGGGUUCAGCGGCAGAGGGAAAAGCCUGCAGGACAGGCUUUGCUUUCUUGACCUGGCUUGGCUUUCUUUCGCGUAAAAAAAAAAGUGUUCUCAGAAGCACCCAAACCGCGGUAAAUAUAAAGCCUGAUCACUGCUGUGGACAGAAGCCCACAUGUUGACUUCUGUGGGGGAUAGGGGGAUGCCUCUUCUGUGGGACACAGAUUAAAUCCAGGUGAUGUUGCACUUUAAUAAAUUAUAAAUGUUCGUGGUGUCCCUUUCUCAGGUUCUGCUCUCAGGAACUCACAGUGGGAAAUACAGUCUCUUAAGCUGGCGUUGGGAUUUCUCAUGUGAAUGUGCCCCAGGUUACUUCCUCUCUACUUUUCUCAAAUGUUGUCCAUGGUGAACUGGUUGAAAAUAAACCAAAGAAAGAAAUGGGGACAGAGGAGGCUGUUGGAUCAUCCAAUCAACUUUCCUGUUGGUACAGACUUACCCUGGUAGCUUGUUUAUUAGUGUUUCUCAAAUUCUUCUUAAAAUAAGUUAACUGAAAGAAUUCCUACCACUUCCUCUGAAAAAUUUGCACAAGCUCUGAUAUUCACUCUUUUCUCCACCCUCUUUUCAUUUACUCCUACUUGUUCCCCUACGUGUAAGCCCAAGUAUUUCCUCCCCAUCCUUCAGGUUUGCAUUACUUAAGCAUUUAUUUGCUGGCUGAAGACACGCGUCCAUCUACCUCUUCUUCAGCGCAACUAGAUGUAUUAAGCUCUUUUAACCUUUCUCUAGAAAACCCGUCUUCCAGAUAAUUCUUGCUGCUGUUCCUCAAAUUGCCUCAUUUGCCUCGACGUUAUGAUGGAUUGCACAGAAAUGAUGCACAUGCCAGCCCUGAGUCUGCGAGGGAAACACUGUCCUUUCAGAAGCGUUUCAAUGAGCUUGAGCUGCCAAAAUCAGCUGGCAUCCCUUCAGCGCUUUGCAUCACUUGGCUAUGUUUUUGGGCACCCUGAAACUGGGCUUACUACCCCGUGGAUCUGUGGUGUGUCUUUUACAUGCCAGUACUUUGCAGCUCUGGUACUCAGCUGGAGCUUUGUGCUGAAGGCAACCCUGCAAUGAGGACAAGUGGCUCAGGGCUCCUCCUCUGUGCUUUGUUGUCUGUUCCAUCCUCCAAGUCAUUGGAGGGCUUUGUUUCCAACAUGCUGUUUGCAGCACUGUGAAACUUGUGCAUGAAGAAAACUGAGUAAAUAGGAUAUACUGGGGCUUUAAUAUUCAGGAUUGUCUACAAGAUUAUUUUCACUGAACCCUUGUUAUUUUUUACAUAAUGACUUUAUUUUCUAUGUAAACAGGUAAAUUUACCUUUUUAUGUUUUGUUUUACUUCUGUUUUCUGUUCACUUAACCACUUGUGAUCAUACACCAAAUAUAUAAUAGAAUUUUUGUUAACCUAUUGAGAAAAAAAUGUCCUUUGUUUCUUCAAGAAUGUUACAUUUUGUGAACUAAGUGUAAUGAUCCAGAAGUUACUUUCUCAGAGAAAGGGAUGCUCACCUUCUGAUCAGGCUCAUUAUUUAUGUAGGCUACACACUUGUGCAAUAAGAGUCUGCUUUCAGCUUUCCCAUGGCAAAAACCAUGACACUGUAAUUUUUGUUUAUCAGUUUCCUCUAAUAAAAGACAUUAUGCAGUGUUUUGCUGACAUUACUGCUAGCUGUAGUAUCACUGUUGUGAACUACGAUGUGAACGAUCGCUGUGGGUACAUACCUGGAA